CGCCGUGUGAGGCUAGACCAGCGUCGGGUCGAUGCACGGGCCCUGCCGCUGUCGGGUCGAUGCUCGGGCGCUGCCGCCGUGGGCGUGUUUAGCGUUUCUCUGUGACAGAAGUGACCCGUUGGUGACGGGGCAUUGAGGAGGAUGCCUGCAGUCCAAACCCUCUUCCUGACUUUCAAAAGCUGGAAAUGUUCUGCUCUUUGCUGGUGGAGAUUGGCCUGACAGAGGACAAUCUGUCACCACUGAGCAGAGGAACAGUCCUUGAAGCCUGGAGUGCAGUGGAAGAGCAUGACACGCAGCCACAGCGUUUUAACCAGUUGUACAGAACACACUGGAGCAAUGCCCUCUAUUGCCGCAGGAAAAGGGAUGGUCUUGUUGAUGCUGCUGUGAUGCACAGGGUGAAGAUGGCCAAGCGUUACACACCAGCACAGCAGCACAUCAGUGCCCAGAACAACAGGUUGAUGUACACACUGGUGAAACUGUUGUGGUUACGAUCACCUCAAGGGUCUCGCACCAGCCCUGAAAAGAGGGCCAUCCUGAAGGUGUACGAGCGAAUCCCGCAUCAGAUAUCGGUGGAAGAUCCAGUCCUGUGCAAGGCCUCUACCAAAAAUUAACAUCAAGUCUGUGCAGGACUUCAUCCAAGAGAGGUCCUCAACCUGCAUGCCACAAAACAGCCAGCCGCAAUCACAAAUGAGUUGUGAGUAAGCUGUACUGUAAUUUGUUUGUAAAUACGUGAAUGUAUGGUUCCAUGGUAAAUACUGUAUUCAUUUCAUUCAUGACCUCUCAUUCUAAGUCAUGUUCAGUGAUACCUUUCAAAUGGUCUAAACCAGGGGUAUCAGAUUCAACCAGUAAAUCUCAUCACAUCUGUGAGCCAGAGAAGAUCUUUUUUUAAUUAGUGUUGUGCUAUAACCCGAACUGGCCAUUGUUUAUUUAAAUAUGCAGAGUAACAGACGCUUGCAGUAAACCUUGAAAUAUUCAAAAUGUAAAUGUCCCUAGGAGCUCUGUCUUUUAAACCUACCUAUCUGCUUGGUCUAUACACCUAUCAUCCUUUCUUUGCUGCAAGGUCAUUAAAUUACAUUACUUUUGUGGGCCCCCACGACCCUGACGGAGAAGCGGCUUAGAAAAUGGAUGGAUGGAUGGAUGGAUGGAUGGAUGGAUGGAUACUUUUGUGGGCCAGGUAUGUUUGUGUGGUGGGCCUUGUGUUUGACAUAUAGGGUCUAAACUAUAGUGCUGUGUUGUGUUGUCAGUAGUUUAUUUAAUAAGACUAUCUGUGAAUGAGUGCAUCUCAUUGAACCGAUUGUAAAUGUUUUAGUGAUACUUUAUAGUUUUUCUACGCUUCCCCAGAUAAUGCACUUUAUUCAAUAACAUGGUUGGUAGUACAGUAACAGUUGUUCUGUAGAAGCACCUGUGUCUAGCUCAUCUUUUUUUUUUAUUAUUAUUAUUUUCUAUUAUUUUCCUUUUUUUUUGCCUGUAUCCCUGUUGCCAUUCGGAUGAUACUUCCUUAACUAUGUUAAUUCUUUUCAUUUGUAAUGAGGUGUGUUUUUAAAACAUUUUCAGUGUUUUGUUUUACAAAUAAAGAGAUCAGAAACAGUAA
Molecule: long non-coding RNA, 1591 nt
Organism: Pygocentrus nattereri (red-bellied piranha)
Lineage: Eukaryota; Metazoa; Chordata; Actinopteri; Characiformes; Serrasalmidae
Exons: 2
Source: RefSeq, a predicted model, not a curated record